UCCCAGAUACCUCAGCUGGUAAAGAAUCCACCUGCAAUGUGGAAGACCUGGGUUCGGUCCCUGGUUUAGGAA
RNAcentral lists this transfer RNA (72 nucleotides) under Bos taurus (domestic cattle). It matches the Rfam family "tRNA". From Rfam's summary of the family: Transfer RNA (tRNA) molecules are approximately 80 nucleotides in length. RNAcentral also lists the same sequence under 5 other names. The record is from Rfam by way of RNAcentral. Lineage: Eukaryota; Metazoa; Chordata; Mammalia; Artiodactyla; Bovidae.